This 497-nucleotide ribosomal RNA is filed under the name uncultured bacterium. RNAcentral describes it as "partial 16S ribosomal RNA". It matches the Rfam family "Bacterial small subunit ribosomal RNA", at positions 28 to 507 of the family's 1533-position model. The record is from RNAcentral.
GAUGAACGCUGGCGGCGUGCCUAAUACAUGCAAGUCGAGCGAACGGACGAGAAGCUUGCUUCUCUGAUGUUAGCGGCGGACGGGUGAGUAACACGUGGAUAACCUACCUAUAAGACUGGGAUAACUUCGGGAAACCGGAGCUAAUACCGGAUAAUAUUUUGAACCGCAUGGUUCAAAAGUGAAAGACGGUCUUGCUGUCACUUAUAGAUGGAUCCGCGCCGCAUUAGCUAGUUGGUAAGGUAACGGCUUACCAAGGCAACGAUGCAUAGCCGACCUGAGAGGGUGAUCGGCCACACUGGAACUGAGACACGGUCCAGACUCCUACGGGAGGCAGCAGUAGGGAAUCUUCCGCAAUGGGCGAAAGCUUGACGGAGCAACGCCGCGUGAGUGAUGAAGGUCUUCGGAUCGUAAAACUCUGUUAUUAGGGAAGAACAAAUGUGUAAGUAACUAUGCACGUCUUGACGGUACCUAAUCAGAAAGCCACGGCUAACUACGUG